AGAGUUUGAUCAUGGCUCAGAACGAACGCUGGCGGCGUGUCUUAAGCAUGCAAGUCGAGCGGCAAGGGGGAGCAAUCCCCCCUAGAGCGGCGGACUGGUGAGUAACACGUGGGUGACCUGCCUUUGUCAUGGGGAUAGCCAUUAGAAAUAGUGGGUAAUACCGAAUACGCUUGUGCACGUGAGGUGUACAAGGAAAGGCGCUACGGCGCCGGACGAAGAUGGGCCCGCGUCCCAUUAGCUAGUUGGUGAGGUAACGGCCCACCAAGGCGAUGAUGGGUAGCCGGCCUGAGAGGGUGUACGGCCACACUGGGACUGAGAUACGGCCCAGACUCCUACGGGAGGCAGCAGCUAAGAAUAUUCCGCAAUGGACGAAAGUCUGACGGAGCGACGCCGCGUGGAUGACGAAGGCCGAAAGGUUGUAAAAUCCUUUUGCUGGGGAAGAAUAAGUCUGGGAGGGAAUGCCCGGAUGAUGACAUGAACCGGCGAAUAAGCCCCGGCUAACUACGUGCCAGCAGCCGCGGUAACACGUAGGGGGCGAGCGUUGUUCGGAAUUACUGGGCGUAAAGGGCAUGUAGGCGGCCUUGUAAGCCUGGCGUGAAAUUCCACGGCUCAACCGUGGGAAUGCGUCGGGAACUGCGAGGCUUGAGUGACGGAGAGGGAGCUAGAAUUCCUGGUGUAGGGGUGAAAUCUGUAGAUAUCAGGAAGGAUACCAAUGGCGAAGGCAAGCUCCUGGCCGAUGACUGACGCUGAGGUGCGAAAGUGUGGGGAUCAAACAGGAUUAGAUACCCUGGUAGUCC
Molecule: ribosomal RNA, 797 nt
Filed under: uncultured bacterium
Lineage: Bacteria
Description: bacterial SSU rRNA
Rfam family: Bacterial small subunit ribosomal RNA
Source: RNAcentral